AGUGAACGCUGGCGGUAGGCCUAACACAUGCAAGUCGAACGGCAGCACAGUAAGAGCUUGCUCUUACGGGUGGCGAGUGGCGGACGGGUGAGGAAUACAUCGGAAUCUACUUUUUCGUGGGGGAUAACGUAGGGAAACUUACGCUAAUACCGCAUACGACCUACGGGUGAAAGCAGGGGAUCUUCGGACCUUGCGCGAUUGAAUGAGCCGAUGUCGGAUUAGCUAGUUGGCGGGGUAAAGGCCCACCAAGGCGACGAUCCGUAGUUGGUCUGAGAGGAUGAUCAGCCACACUGGAACUGAGACACGGUCCAGACUCCUACGGGAGGCAGCAGUGGGGAAUAUUGGACAAUGGGCGCAAGCCUGAUCCAGCCAUACCGCGUGGGUGAAGAAGGCCUGCGGGUUGUAAAGCCCUUUUGUUGGGAAAGAAAAGCAGCAGGUUAAUACCCCGCUGUUCUGACGGUACCCAAAGAAUAAGCACCGGCUAACUUCGUG
Molecule: ribosomal RNA, 492 nt
Filed under: uncultured bacterium
Lineage: Bacteria
Description: partial 16S ribosomal RNA
Rfam family: Bacterial small subunit ribosomal RNA
Source: RNAcentral